Ictidomys tridecemlineatus (thirteen-lined ground squirrel) is the source of this 72-nucleotide non-coding RNA. Lineage: Eukaryota; Metazoa; Chordata; Mammalia; Rodentia; Sciuridae. The record is from Rfam.
GGAUGUAGCUCAGUGGUAUAGUAUAUGUUUAGCAUGCAUGAGGCCCUGGGUUCAAUCCCCAGGUUCAAUCCA